UAUCUCUCCGUACGGGGAAGGAUGAGAAGCUUCGACUAAGGUUCGAUUCGAGCGCAGCGAGAAAGCGUUGCCGUAGGCAACGACCCGAAGGGCGAAGCGCGC
RNAcentral lists this small RNA (102 nucleotides) under Salmonella enterica. RNAcentral describes it as "partial RtT sRNA". It matches the Rfam family "RtT RNA", at positions 1 to 101 of the family's 130-position model. Rfam says of the family: This family represents a bacterial cis-regulatory element known as RtT RNA. The exact function of RtT is unknown although it is thought that it may be involved in changing the cellular response in relation to amino acid starvation. RNAcentral also lists the same sequence under 3 other names. Lineage: Bacteria; Pseudomonadati; Pseudomonadota; Gammaproteobacteria; Enterobacterales; Enterobacteriaceae. The record is from RNAcentral.